This 497-nucleotide ribosomal RNA is filed under the name uncultured bacterium. Its description in RNAcentral is "partial 16S ribosomal RNA". It matches the Rfam family "Bacterial small subunit ribosomal RNA", at positions 28 to 507 of the family's 1533-position model. The record is from RNAcentral.
GAUGAACGCUGGCGGCGUGCCUAAUACAUGCAAGUCGAGCGAACAGACGAGGAGCUUGCUCCUCUGACGUUAGCGGCGCACGGGUGAGUAACACGUGUAUAACCUACCUAUAAGACUGGGAUAACUUCGGGAAACCGGAGCUAAUACCGUAUAAUAUAUUGAUCCGCAUGGUUCAAUAGUGAAAGACGGUUUUGCUGUCUCUUAUAGAUGGAUCCGCGCCGCAUUAGCUAGUUGGUACGGUAACGGCUUACCAAGGCAACGAUGCGUAGCCGACGUGAGAGGGUGAUAGGCCACCCUGGAAGGGAGACAGGGUCCAUGCGCCUACGGGACGCAGCAGAAGGGAAUCUGCCGCAAUGGGCGAAAGCAUUACGGAGCAACGCGGCGUGAGUGAUGACGGUCUUCGGAUCGUAAAACUCGGUUAUGAGGGAAGAACAAAUUUGUAAGUAACUAUGCACGUCUUGACGGUAACUAGUCAGAAAGCCACGGCUAACUACGUG